UUCGAUUGGCAUUUCAAGUAAUGAAUGUCUAUCGGGACAUCGUGACGGUUAUCACGGGCUCGAGGAGAGUACCGGGUUGUGACAUUACAUUUGUUACUAUUUUGGUUAAUGGGUCACCAACAAAUACUGUUAAACUAAGAAGAAGAUUAAGGACUAGCUUUGGAGAAUAAAGUUAAGAUGCUAGUUAUUUGGUUGGGAGUAUCAACAAUGGACGGCUUUGUGGUCUCUUUUACGGAAUGUCUCUUUGAGUAAAAAGUUGGAUGAUGAGGUUGUAUGGAAAGUUACAUCCAGUGGUAAAUA
Theobroma cacao (cacao) is the source of this 300-nucleotide non-coding RNA. The record is from RefSeq and is a predicted model, not a curated record. Lineage: Eukaryota; Viridiplantae; Streptophyta; Magnoliopsida; Malvales; Malvaceae.